UCUUACUUGGUUCUUGCUGCACCUUUUUCUUCAGAAACACCUUUUAAGUUACAACAAGUGAGAUAAUUAUGUACGUAUGUUUUCCUUGCAGGGAAUUUGUGCAGUUCAUAAGAUUCAAGUGAUACUUUGGUUUAGUUUCAUGGCCAAUCUGGAUAUGUUACAUCGAGUGCCUUAAGUGGAUUCAUUAGCCUGAGGACAUGUGAGGUGAUGUUUUCUAGCAUUCUCAAUUUACUAAAGGAAUGCUUUCCACAACUUUGCUUCUAAAUUGUUUGUUUAGAGGUUAGAUGACAUUUCCCUGUAGAAAGAACAUUAUGUUAACUCCUAAUGGAUGACACUCAUGGUAAUGACCUGAAUUCAAGGGAACAUGUUGUUUAGGAUUGAAGAGAAGAGCAAAGGUAAUUUCCUCCCUAUUUCUUAAAUAUGCAGCUGACCCUAAGUACAUUUUAUUUUUAUACUUUUUUCUGUUUAUAUAGUUAUUUACAUAACUAUAUAAUAAACUACAUUUAUGAACUAUAUAUGGACUUUGUUUAGAUCUUGAUUCAAAUGAACCGACUUUGAAAGAAUAUUAUAGGGAAAUUUAAACACUAAUUGGAUAGUAAAGCUUUAUUGUUAACUUUUUCAGGUGUAAUAAUCAUACUGUGGUUUUUCUUAAGAAUAAGGAAGGGUCACAUUUUAGAGAUAUUCACAGAUUAAAUGAUAUUUAAUCUUGGAUUGCUUUAAAAUAAUCUGAGUUAGAGAGAAUGGAGAAUACAUGGACGAAACAGAACAGCCAUGUGUUCAGAAUUGUUGAAACUGGUUGAUUGGGAGUUCAAUAUAUUCUAUUUUUUAUAGGUUUGAAAAUUUAUAUGAAAACAAGUGUGCAAGAGACUACUGGGUAGAUAAGGAAGAAGGAAGUCAGAUACAGG
RNAcentral lists this long non-coding RNA (905 nucleotides) under Homo sapiens (human). RNAcentral describes it as "HSALNT0134905". The record is from RNAcentral. Lineage: Eukaryota; Metazoa; Chordata; Mammalia; Primates; Hominidae.